RNAcentral lists this unclassified non-coding RNA (408 nucleotides) under Hevea brasiliensis (rubber tree). The record is from RNAcentral. Lineage: Eukaryota; Viridiplantae; Streptophyta; Magnoliopsida; Malpighiales; Euphorbiaceae.
CUUGAUUUCAAUAAUGCUGUAAGUUCUUGUUAAACAUGGCUGAAAUUAGACUUACAAGUGUAGAACAAGGCCAAACCAAGAUUCGAAAUGUCCCAAUUGCUGUAACACCAGAAGGUUUUUGGUGUUGUCCUUCUCCUGUUGGGUUUCAAAAGACCGUUAAAACUCAAAAUCCACUAAACAAAACCAAACCAUCUUCACCACCACCUAAGACUACUGUCCAAAAGAAACAAGCUCCAUUUAAUGAGAGAAAGCCGCCACCGCCAGCUCCAUUAAGACCUGUAGUUGUUUCUGAUGACCAGCGAAAUUGCAGCUCAGAUACUCCUAGUGUUAGUGCUUCUGUUGUUAAUGAGAGAGGAUCGAGGCCCAAACUCUAUCGCCACUUUCCUUGGCAAACUUUCUAUUUUGGGC